RNAcentral lists this ribosomal RNA (890 nucleotides) under uncultured Caldisericota bacterium. RNAcentral's name for it is "bacterial SSU rRNA". It matches the Rfam family "Bacterial small subunit ribosomal RNA", at positions 512 to 1394 of the family's 1533-position model. The record is from RNAcentral. Lineage: Bacteria; Pseudomonadati; Caldisericota.
CAGCCGCGGUAAUACGUAGGGGGCAAGCGUUAUCCGGAAUCACUGGGCGUAAAGGGUCCACAGGUGUCCCGUUAAGUUAGAUGUUAAAUCGCAAGGCUCAACCUUGCGGCUGCAUCUAAUACUGACAGGAUAGAGGAUAGGUGACGGAGGUGGAAUUCCUGGUGGAGAGGUAAAAUCCGUAGAUAUCAGGAGGAACACCCGUGGCGUAGGCGGCUUCCGAACCUAUUCCUGACACUCAGGGACGAAAGCUAGGGGAGCAAACAGGAUUAGAUACCCUGGUAGUCCUAGCUGUAAACGAUGAAUACUAGAUAGUGGGUGCUACACCGUACUCACCGUCGUAGCUAACGCGUUAAGUAUUUCGCCUGGGAACUACGAUCGCAAGUUUGAAACUCAAAGGAAUUGACGGGUCCCCGCACAAGCAGCGAGGCAUGUGGCUUAAUUCGAUGCAACACGAAGAACCUUACCUGGACUUGACAUGUUUCUGAAAGGCCGGAGAAACCCGGUCCCUUCCAGUUUACUGGAACAGUUUCACAGGUGGUGCAUGGUUGUCGUCAGCUCGUGUCGUGAGAUGUAAGGUUAAGUCCUUAAACGAGCGUAACCUUUGUUAUUAGUUGCCACCGGUUCGGCCGAGCACUCUAAUGAGACCGCUAGCGACAAGCUAGAGGAAGAUGGAGAUGACGUCAAAUCCUCACGUCCCUUAUGUCCAGGGCCGCACACAUGCGACAAUGGUAGAGACAGCGGGUUGCGACGGGGUAACCCUGAGCUAAUCCAUAAACUCUGCCUCAGUACAGAUCGAGGGCUGAAAUUCGACCUCGUGAAGAUGGAGUUGCUAGUAAACGCAGGUCAGCUAUACUGCGUUGAAUACGUUCCCGGGGAUUGCACACACCGCC